ACCUGGCGCUGGGGCUCCGGUCCCCAGUGGCUCCAGCAGGAGGGAGAGAAUGAGGAGGGAGGCUUGGAAACGCCGGGAGGAGCGGUGAGGCCGACGCCGGGGAAGCGAAUCGAUACUGCGUUACUGGACGUCCGUGGGCCUCAUGAGGACGGUCGAUUCCCUCAUUCGUUAUUCACGAUUUAUUAGGGAUGGCGGCUGCGUCUGUCCCUCCAGAGCUCGAUUAUCCAUCCGGCCAGCAGCGCCAUUAAGCGCACUGACGGUGGGAGGCUCGAGUUAGAAAUUAGGAAAGGAAUCUUCGCCCAGUUUUGGAGCGCCUGCCUCCUCUUCCCUCGUUGCUCGCAGCCAAGGCAGCCGCGAAGCUGGGGGCCUCGGGUGAAUGCUUUCGCCCUCUGGCCGGCGACCAGGAGACCUGCGCACACUGGCCGCCGAGUGACCCCAGCUGGAGCCUGCAGCCACACCAGCGGGACGGGGGCGGGGAGGAAGAGGAAGGGCGGAGAGACUUCCUUCCAGAGGGAGUGGUCCGAGAACCGGCGGGAGAAGGGCCAAGGGAAGAUCCGGUCACCUGCUCCCGAGCCUGCAGGCGGAGAGGCGAGUAGUUCACCGGCCCCGGAGGAAAGGGGACCCUCCCAGUGUUCCCAUGCAAAUGUGUCGCCGGCAUCCUGGACUCUGCCAGGGAAGACGCGCAUCCACUCGCUCUGCAGGGAGGGGAGCGCGGGAGGGACUCCCAGUCAGCCGCCCCUCUCUGGCUACAAGACCCCGAACAAGAGAAACCUGUAACAGGGGCUCUGCGGAGAUCUGGAUCCCACCCACCAACCACAUGGGCACCUGGGGGGCUGCCCCUCGGGGCAUUAUCAGCCAGUGGGAAGGGGGUUGACGUUCCUCUGCGGCCCAUGAAUCCUGGAGGGCUGCCCGAGGGGCCACCGGGGUCCAUCCACUUAUUCCUCGGUUGUUAAGCGCCAGACAGGAGAGAACCGCUAGAGAGGAGUGUGCUAAGACCCCAUUACCCACUAAAACUCCAUUUUCAUCUUUUGCGUCCUGGAUGACUAGCCUCCACAUUCCUGGCCUUUCUGGUUUCUCAGGAGAACCUUCUGACCCAACUCUUCCCACAUCGGAAGAGUUUCCUAGUCUUUUAUUCUACUACUAGCCGACAUAGAAAGCACCUGUCAUGUGCCAGUGUCAAAUACUGCGCUAGGAACUGGGAACUCAAGGCACAGGAGCCUGGCUUUUGCGCAGGGCGCUCACAGGCCGGUGGGUGCAAACCCUGAAGGACACACGGCCUGUCCCUUCUGUCCCUUUAGCGCCCACCGCUUCUGGUGUGAGCUCCCGCCAAGGGUGGGUGAGUACUGGGGUGGGCUUCCAGAAGAAGCCUCCUUUGAGCCGAAUCUGCAGAGACCAAGUGUCUAUGAGAACUGCUUAAGAGUGCUUCGCACACUCUCCUCCACAAAGGUCGAGGCUCCCACUGCGCCAAGGAAUGCGCCUCGUCAGACAUUAGGCGCCCCUUGAUUUUGUGUUUGCAUCUCACGCGGUCCUCUAGCUGACAAAUGCAUCAGAAGAGUCACAGUGUCUGUCACAGGCUAGAGGCUCGCAGAGGACAGGAACGCGGGAAAUCUGGGCAAUUACCUCCAGCAUAUACCAAGAGCUAUUGCGAGGAUCAGAUCCCUUUAAAAAUGGUGACAGGAGGCAGGAGAGGGCGGCUCCUCUAGAGCUUUCCGGAACGUCUUUACCUCUGUGUCCUUUAUACCUUUUAUCUCCCCCAAACAAGGUCCUUGGUCAGUUUCUCCUUCUAUUUCCCCAUCUUCCUCCCCCACUUCUCUGUGUAGUUCUAGGGGGAAAAAAUGUGUUGUUUUCCUUUUUUUCUGAUGCUUCUUAUAUUAAAUGCGUCUAUUUUCCCACUCUCCAUUGUCUCGAGGUCUUCCCCACUCACCCUGCCUAGUUCUCUGUCAUGUCCCUUCUUUCCCUGUAUCACAACAAUGUUCUCCCUUUCUCACCUUUGUUUCUCUUCAUACCUGUUUCUCUCUCUGUGUCUCUCUCAUUCUCUUCCCUUCCAAAUGUAGUAUUUGGAGAUUGUAACAUCGAUUGAGGCAGACAAUAGAAAACUGUCGAACCUC
RNAcentral lists this non-coding RNA (2108 nucleotides) under Pongo abelii (Sumatran orangutan). The record is from RNAcentral. Lineage: Eukaryota; Metazoa; Chordata; Mammalia; Primates; Hominidae.